UACCGCGGUUACACGAGAGGCUCAAGUUGAUAACCUACGGCGUAAAGAGUGGUUAAGAACCUCAAUCUAACUAAGUCCAAACACUUUUGGAGCAGUAAUAUGCCUACGGAAGCAAGAAGAACUAUAACGAAAGUGGGCUUAAUAUAGUCUGACCCCACGUAAGCUAGGGAA
Molecule: ribosomal RNA, 171 nt
Filed under: Myopsaron nelsoni
Lineage: Eukaryota; Metazoa; Chordata; Actinopteri; Acropomatiformes; Creediidae
Description: partial 12S rRNA
Source: RNAcentral